UUACGUCUGUCCAAUUAUUUUGUGUUUAUUUUUAUUUCACAACAUAGAUGGCCAGACGUUACA
RNAcentral lists this microRNA precursor (63 nucleotides) under Drosophila ananassae. RNAcentral's name for it is "Dan-Novel-10_pre stem-loop". The record is from RNAcentral. Lineage: Eukaryota; Metazoa; Arthropoda; Insecta; Diptera; Drosophilidae.